UACGUAGGGGGCAAGCGUUGUCCGGAAUUAUUGGGCGUAAAGAGCGUGUAGGCGGUCCGGUAAGUCGGCUGUGAAAGUCCAGGGCUCAACCCUGGGAUGCCGGUCGAUACUGCCGGACUAGAGUUCGGAAGAGGCGAGUGGAAUUCCCGGUGUAGCGGUGAAAUGCGCAGAUAUCGGGAGGAACACCUAUGGCGAAGGCAGCUCGCUGGGACGUUACUGACGCUGAGGAGCGAAAGCAUGGGGAGCGAACAGG
Molecule: ribosomal RNA, 253 nt
Filed under: uncultured bacterium
Lineage: Bacteria
Description: partial 16S ribosomal RNA
Rfam family: Bacterial small subunit ribosomal RNA
Source: RNAcentral